This 377-nucleotide ribosomal RNA is filed under the name uncultured bacterium. RNAcentral describes it as "bacterial SSU rRNA". It matches the Rfam family "Bacterial small subunit ribosomal RNA", at positions 521 to 896 of the family's 1533-position model. The record is from RNAcentral.
UAAUACAGAGGGUGCAAGCGUUGCUCGGAUUUACUGGGCGUAAAGCGUACGCAGACGGCCGCGCAGGUCGGGUGUGAAAGCCCCGGGCUCAACCCGGGAACUGCACUCGAAACCAUGCGGCUCGAGGAUGGAAGAGGAGAGCGGAAUUCCCGGUGUAGAGGUGAAAUUCGUAGAUAUCGGGAGGAACACCAGUGGCGAAAGCGGCUCUCUGGCCCAUUUCUGACGUUCAGGUACGAAAGCGUGGGGAGCAAACAGGAUUAGAUACCCUGGUAGUCCACGCCGUAAACGAUGCAUGCUGGCUGUCGGAGGUAUUCACCCCCUCGGUAGCGAAGCCAACGCGUUAAGCAUGCCGCCUGGGGAGUACGGCCGCAAGGUUG